GGAGUCUGGGCCGUGUCUCAGUCCCAAUGUGGCCGUUCAACCUCUCAGUCCGGCUACCGAUCGCGGUCUUGGUGGGCCGUUACCUCACCAACUAACUAAUCGGACGCGAGUCCAUCUUCAAGCGAUAAAUCUUUGAUAUGUCUGCCAUGUGACAAUCAUAUGUCAUGCGGUAUUAGCAUUCUUUUCAGAAUGUUAUCCCCCUCUUGAAGGCAGGUUACUCACGCGUUACUCACCCGUCCGCCACUAAACUGAAUCAAUGUCAUUCCGAAGAAAUCCUUCGAAGCAGUUCCGUUCGACUUGCAUGUGUUAGGCACGCCGCCAGCGUCGUCCUGAGCCAUGAUCAAACUACU
Molecule: ribosomal RNA, 350 nt
Filed under: uncultured Ruminococcus sp.
Lineage: Bacteria; Bacillati; Bacillota; Clostridia; Eubacteriales; Oscillospiraceae
Description: partial 16S ribosomal RNA
Source: RNAcentral